UCCCCAUUCACAAGGCCUCCGCUGACCGGG
RNAcentral lists this non-coding RNA (30 nucleotides) under Homo sapiens (human). The record is from RNAcentral. Lineage: Eukaryota; Metazoa; Chordata; Mammalia; Primates; Hominidae.